GGAGGCUUAUUAUUGUAGAUGCCAAAUAGAAGUGGAAGAUUCAAAUAAAGUUGGCUUGUGGGUUUCGGCUUAGUUGGGAGACGAUGUCGGGCCGCAAGGGUUUGGGCUAGGGCGGGGCGAAGCGCCACCGCGAGGUGCUCCGCGAUAACAUCCGGGGGGCAUCACGAGGCCCGCGAUCUGGCGCAUCACCGGCCUGGGAGACCCGCGGGCCCCACAACAUCAUUCUCGCUUACGUGAUCUGUGAUGCUGUCACCUACACUGAACACGCCCGGCAGAAGACCGUCACCGCCAUGGCCGUCGUGCGUGCGUGCCCCGAAAAGGCAGGGAAAGACUCUCUACGAGUAUGGCGGUUAGGGUUUCAUCACAAUUAAAAAGUCUUGCUGUCGAGAAAAGAGGAAAGAGAAAAAAAAAUUGAAUUGGAGGUUGUGUGGGGAAAGAAUUUGUUGCUCCCAAGUGUUGUUGGAAUUGCUAAUCUGGGGUUUUACUUGGUUUUCUGCAUGUCGGUGCUUUUAGUUGUUGAUACUGGAAUUUUUUUGUGUAUAAAUACUGAUGUGGGAUCGAUGCUUAAUUAUUUUUGCUUCUGUUGGAUUAUAAUAACUUGUUUUGAGCUCUUUUUUUAAUAGCUGUUGCAUCUUUCUUGCAGUGCGUGCGAUGCUACCUUUGAUCUCUUAUGAUAUGUUGUCGGACACCUUUUGCUACAAGUUAUGAGAUUUGUUGGAUCCUCAUUUCAUUGGUGUCGAGGGUAAGGCUUGGUAUCUUGGUGAAACUGUAUAUCAUGAUCGAUUAAUAUUAUGCUCCUUUCCCAUUGUUCAUAGGUAGGGCUUUCUACGUUGAUCCACACUAAAACUGUAUAUGCAGGAGUCUUGUGUAUUAGGCUUGUUCCUUGUAUUUUGCUGCCUGUUCCCACUUAAUUCUUGCUUAAAUUAUUUGCAUCUAGUCAUCCUUUGUGGUUGUUUCAUUGAAUAGUUUGGAUUGCCUUGGUUCAAAUGUUUCUUGAAAAUAAUGUUCUGACUACUCAGAGUUUAGUAGUAUUAAUAACUGGUAUAUGAGAUCUGUUAUAUCAGAAAAAUAAAAUUAAGAAUCCAUAUCAAAAGCUGAUGCAUAGUUUGUUUAGUUCCAUGUGCUGCAGGUUAUUUGCUGACUGUUUCUGAACUAGGAUGAAUUGUAUCAGUGGCUUGAUUCAUGAGGAAACUCUAGGUGUUCUUAGCAUGUUCCCCAACAAGGGUGCAGAUGGGUGGUUGGCUGGUGGGAAUCGAGAAAACUUUAUGUUUACAGUCACAAUGAUCUGACUAACUGAUUCUUGAUUUGUUAAUCUGUAAAUUAUAUUCAGAUGUUGAGGGCUUUGAAAUGCAUCAUCUUAUCUGUUUGUAUGUCUAUAUAUGUACUUAUCCAGGCUUUUGCAUAUCAACAUAGGACCACAUCUACAU
This is a non-coding RNA of Musa acuminata subsp. malaccensis (wild Malaysian banana), 1427 nucleotides long. Lineage: Eukaryota; Viridiplantae; Streptophyta; Magnoliopsida; Zingiberales; Musaceae. The record is from RefSeq and is a predicted model, not a curated record.